This 253-nucleotide ribosomal RNA is filed under the name uncultured bacterium. RNAcentral's name for it is "partial 16S ribosomal RNA". It matches the Rfam family "Bacterial small subunit ribosomal RNA", at positions 524 to 776 of the family's 1533-position model. The record is from RNAcentral.
GACGAACCGGACAAACGUUAUUCGGAAUCACUGGGCUUAAAGGGUGCGUAGGCGGCGCGGCAAGUUGGGUGUGAAAUCCCUCGGCUCAACCGAGGAAUAGCGCCCAAAACUGCCGUGCUCGAGGGAGACAGAGGUGAGUGGAACUUAGGGUGGAGCGGUGAAAUGCGUUGAUAUCCUAAGGAACUCCGGUGGUGAAAGCGACUCACUGGGUCUCUUCUGACGCUGAGGCACGAAAGCUAGGGGAGCGAACGGG